RNAcentral lists this unclassified non-coding RNA (371 nucleotides) under uncultured fungus. Its description in RNAcentral is "partial contains 5.8S ribosomal RNA and internal transcribed spacer 2". The stretch from base 1 to 133 matches the Rfam family "5.8S ribosomal RNA", at positions 22 to 154 of the family's 154-position model. Lineage: Eukaryota; Fungi. The record is from RNAcentral.
UGGCUCUCGCACCGAUGAAGAACGCAGCGAAAUGCGAUAAGUAGUGUGAAUUGCAGAAUUCAGUGAAUCAUCGAAUCUUUGAACGCACCUUGCACCUUUUGGUAUUCCGAAAGGUACACCCGUUUGAGUGUCAUUGUAGCCUCACUCCACCAGCAUUUUGUUGAUGGAUGUGGACCUGGACUUUGUUGUGUUACUACAACUAGUCUGAAAUGCAUGAGUGCACCCUGCUGUUGCAGCGUUUUCAGUGUGAUAAGCAUCUUCACUGGAUCAAGUUCCCUUGGGACACGCAGUCAUUGUGGGCUCUGUGCUGGCAAACUGUCUUUGGACAACUUUGACAAUUUGACCUCAGAUCGGGUGGGACUACCCGCUGA